RNAcentral lists this ribosomal RNA (484 nucleotides) under uncultured bacterium. Its description in RNAcentral is "partial 16S ribosomal RNA". It matches the Rfam family "Bacterial small subunit ribosomal RNA", at positions 30 to 507 of the family's 1533-position model. The record is from RNAcentral.
AUUGAACGCUGGCGGCAGGCCUAACACAUGCAAGUCGAGCGGAUGAAGGGAGCUUGCUCCUGGAUUCAGCGGCGGACGGGUGAGUAAUGCCUAGGAAUCUGCCUGGUAGUGGGGGAUAACGUCCGGAAACGGGCGCUAAUACCGCAUACGUCCUGAGGGAGAAAGUGGGGGAUCUUCGGACCUCACGCUAUCAGAUGAGCCCAGGUCGGAUUAGCUAGUUGGUGGGGUAAAGGCCUACCAAGGCGACGAUCCGUAACUGGUCUGAGAGGAUGAUCGGUCACACUGGAACUGAGACACGGUCCAGACUCCUACGGGAGGCAGCAGUGGGGAAUAUUGGACAAUGGGCGAAAGCCUGAUCCAGCCAUGCCGCGUGUGUGAAGAAGGUCUUCGGAUUGUAAAGCACUUUAAGUUGGGAGGAAGGGCAGUAAGUUAAUACCUUGCUGUUUUGACGUUACCAACAGAAUAAGCACCGGCUAACUUCGUG